UACGAAGGGGGCUAGCGUUGCUCGGAAUCACUGGGCGUAAAGGGUGCGUAGGCGGGCUUUUAAGUCAGGGGUGAAAUCCUGGAGCUCAACUCCAGAACUGCCUUUGAUACUGAGAAUCUUGAGUACGGGAGAGGUGAGUGGAACUGCGAGUGUAGAGGUGAAAUUCGUAGAUAUUCGCAAGAACACCAGUGGCGAAGGCGGCUCACUGGCCCGUAACUGACGCUGAGGAGCGAAAGCGUGGGGAGCAAACAGG
RNAcentral lists this ribosomal RNA (253 nucleotides) under uncultured bacterium. RNAcentral describes it as "partial 16S ribosomal RNA". It matches the Rfam family "Bacterial small subunit ribosomal RNA", at positions 524 to 776 of the family's 1533-position model. The record is from RNAcentral.